AAUUGGACUCAACGCCGGGCAGCUCACCGGAUAAGACAGCUGGAUGAUAGCCGGGCUGAAGACUCUGCUUGACUAGCUGAGAGGAGGUGCAUGGCCGUCGUCAGUUCGUACUGUGAAGCAUCCUGUUAAGUCAGGCAACGAGCGAGACCCACGCCAACAGUUGCCAGCAUGUCCUCCGGGAUGAUGGGGACACUGUUGGGACCGCCUCUGCUAAAGAGGAGGAAGGAAUGGGCAACGGUAGGUCAGCAUGCCCCGAAUUAUCCGGGCUACACGCGGGCUACAAUGGUCAGGACAAUGGGUAUCGACACCGAGAGGUGGAGGCAAUCUCCUAAACCUGUCCUUAGUUCGGAUUGUGGGCUGCAACUCGCCCACAUGAAGCUGGAAUCCGUAGUAAUCGUGGAUCAGAAUGUCACGGUGAAUACGUUCCCGGGUCUU
Molecule: ribosomal RNA, 435 nt
Filed under: uncultured Methanolinea sp.
Lineage: Archaea; Methanobacteriati; Methanobacteriota; Methanomicrobia; Methanomicrobiales; Methanoregulaceae
Description: bacterial SSU rRNA
Rfam family: Archaeal small subunit ribosomal RNA
Source: RNAcentral